GCCUGGCUGGCUCAGUCAAAGAGCAUCAGACUCUUGAUCUUGGGGUCGUGAGUUCAAGCCCCACACUGGGUG
RNAcentral lists this transfer RNA (72 nucleotides) under Felis catus (domestic cat). It matches the Rfam family "tRNA". Rfam says of the family: Transfer RNA (tRNA) molecules are approximately 80 nucleotides in length. Their secondary structure includes four short double-helical elements and three loops (D, anti-codon, and T loops). The record is from Rfam by way of RNAcentral. RNAcentral also lists the same sequence under 6 other names. Lineage: Eukaryota; Metazoa; Chordata; Mammalia; Carnivora; Felidae.